AAGCUACCACUAGUGAGGUCACUGCCCUUUUCCUUCUCUCUCUCUCAUAGAAUGCGACCUUCCCUCUGCCCUAGCUCCGAUUCACCCGAUCCUCCCUUCACCUCUUCGUGUUGCUGCCAACCACCAUGGCCCGAUGCCCGAUCGUCACUGCCUUGAUGCCGAUGCCAAAGAGCCCUCCGAGUGCCACCCAAGCACUGUAUCUCAGAGCAACUCCACCGUCUCCCCCGUACGAAGACCACUCGAUGAUGUUGCAGAUCUACUGUCGACAUCUUAUCACUGUCUAAUCUCAUCGGAUCUUUGCUCGAUGUUGCCAUCCGAUAGAGUCGGCGUCACUCGAUAGCCGUCUGAAAUGCAGCGCCCUUUUGUUGGGGCAGUCCAGCACUACCAACUGUAGCGGUAGUAAGGGGGUGAUUGUUCCUAUCGAUCGACCAUUCUUCUUCUCCAACUAUCUUUGAGCCGUGCCCUAGCUUUGAUCAGCGUCACUGACCUUCCGACCGACCAAAUGUAGUCAUCUCUGUGAACCACUUACACUGCCUCUUCUCCAUAACAUGGCUACUAUUGCUACCUCACCUUCUGGUGAGCAAUUGGUUUCUCCUCUGGUGGAGAUGACGAAGAAGCAGUGAGCUCUGACAAAAACAAUUGCUAAGAUGGCCAUUAUAGCUCCGACCACCACUGUCUGCCAGCAUUCCCUACUCCGGUCAUUUUCUUCGAUUAUGCACUGUCGACUACAGUGAGCUUCCACCAAAGAGCAAGAAGAUAAAGGAAAAAGCUGGAUGAGUUAGAGGAGCAGCAGGAGGGGCAACGAAGAUGUGUG
Zingiber officinale is the source of this 814-nucleotide long non-coding RNA. RefSeq lists it as uncharacterized. NCBI's taxonomy places the organism in Eukaryota, Viridiplantae, Streptophyta, Magnoliopsida, Zingiberales, Zingiberaceae. The transcript has 3 exons. The record is from RefSeq and is a predicted model, not a curated record.